UUUCCGUAGGUGAACCUGCGGAAGGAUCAUUAAUGAGUUGUCAUGGGGUUCGAUGCUGGCAGCCAAUUUUUGGAUGCAUGUGCUUGCCCUAACAAUCAUCUUCCAAACACCUGUGCACAUUUUUGAGGGAGUCUUGAGUUGGUUGCCGCUCUCGGGUGAUUUUCUCACAUUCCCUUAAAUCAUUAUACGCUAUUAACAAUGUUGAACGUGCUCUGUGCCGCAAGGCUAUUAAUAUAAUACAACUUUUAACAACGGAUCUCUUGGCUCUC
RNAcentral lists this unclassified non-coding RNA (269 nucleotides) under plant metagenome. RNAcentral's name for it is "partial contains small subunit ribosomal RNA, internal transcribed spacer 1, and 5.8S ribosomal RNA". The record is from RNAcentral.